RNAcentral lists this long non-coding RNA (1180 nucleotides) under Capsicum annuum. Its description in RNAcentral is "long non-coding RNA (CANN_LNC010586)". The record is from RNAcentral. Lineage: Eukaryota; Viridiplantae; Streptophyta; Magnoliopsida; Solanales; Solanaceae.
GUGCACUAAGCUCAUGGUAUACGCGAGCCCGACCACAAGGAUCUAUUAUAUGCAGUCUUACCCAACAUUUUUGUAAGAAAACAAGGAAAGAAAAAAACGCAAUAAAGCAUUUGUGAUGGAUCUUACCAGGUAAAUCCUUCCAUAAACCACUCAUUACAUUCUGUUGAAAUGGUGAUAGAGCAUACUACAACAGCCUUCAACUUCACUAUUUGCUUCCACAUUUUCAAUUACACAAAUUAACACUGAGUCGGUUAUACAAAUUCUCUAUAUCCAAAGUUAGAGAUAUAAAAGCUUCAAUCCUAGGAAGGAUAUAGAAACCGAGCACUAUCUAUAUAUAGUAACUUCUAACUCAUGAACUACCUAAAUAUAUAUAAAAUUUAAGUUUUUUGCACAGUCAUUGUACAAGAUAUUCUACACUAUCAGGUAACUUGACCUGUUAUUGCAGCUUACCUAAUUUUUCUUUUUUACAAUUUUUAUGUAAGAAAUUGGGUAAACUGCAAUAGCAGAUCAAGUUGCAGUUUACUAUAGAAUAUUAUGUACACUGACACUACACAAAACUUAAAAUCAUAUCUAUAUCCAUAUCCAUUUCUAUCAAUACGGUCCCGGUGCACUAAGCUCACAUCGGACCACAAGGAUCUAUUAUACGCAGUCAGAAAAAAUAAAGUACACCGACAGACAACAAGACUUAAAAUCAUAUCUAUAUCCAUUUCUAUCUAUACGGGCCCGUGCACCAAGCUCACAGUAUACGCGGGCCCAACCACAAAGAUCUAUUAUAGGCUCACAUCUAUAUCCAUUUCUAUCUAUAAAGGCCCGGUGCACUAAGCACACAGUAUACACGGCCCACGGGCCAAACCAUAAGAAUCUAUUAUAAGCAGUUUUACUAUACAUUUCUGUAUUAAAAAAAGUGAAUUAUAAGAAAAUAAGCAAAACGAAAAAGCAAUAAACAAGUACUUACGUGUGAACACCGACAAGUGGACCAAGCAAAAGAGUAGCGCUAAUCCAAUUUUCGGAGACUUUGUGAUGGAUCUUACCAGGUAGAUCUUUCCAUAAACCACUCAUUACUUUCUGUUGAAAUGGCGAUAAUGCGUAUACUACUGCCUUCAAUUUCACUGGUUGCUUACCCAUUUUUGCGAAUGGUGAUUUUGCUCGUUGGAGAAUUCUAGGGUUUGUGUGAUUUUUG